This 515-nucleotide long non-coding RNA is filed under the name Mytilus galloprovincialis (Mediterranean mussel). Lineage: Eukaryota; Metazoa; Mollusca; Bivalvia; Mytilida; Mytilidae. The record is from RNAcentral.
AUUCUGCUUGAUAAGAGAUCACCAUCGAUUUUAAAUUUAGAGUAUCAAUUCUCUCCGGUCGGCCAUUUUGUUACCUUCUCCGAAUUGCUCCCAAGAUAUGUCUAAGGACCAAAACUACAGUAACCCGAUGUAGUCGUAAUUGCGUGUUGAUAUCUUGUCAAUCGUACGGUUGUUUUAUCCGACUAGUUAACUAUAACUAAGUUGAUACAGAAAAUUUUCUUAUCUUUUUUUUUUAAUAACCAUGAUCUGUUAUUUUUAACAAUAAUGAUAGUAUUGGAAUUAGUUAAAAAGUAAAAGUUUCAAAUCAUAAAUAAGUGUUCCGUGAAACUUGAAUUGUUUUCGGAAAUCUAAUUAGUUCAUAAUUCUUUUAUGUAAUAAACUUUAUUCAAAUAAAUUAGGAUCUUCGCUCCACUGAUCACCUGCAUGGCUAAAGGUAUUACUCCCAAAGGUAUUGCAGGGGGUGUGACACGUCCAGGUAUUCAAGCGAUUUCCUGUCGAGCUUGCAAAUUCAUGCA